Chelonia mydas (Green sea turtle) is the source of this 1356-nucleotide long non-coding RNA. RefSeq lists it as uncharacterized. The transcript is spliced from 2 exons. The record is from RefSeq and is a predicted model, not a curated record. NCBI's taxonomy places the organism in Eukaryota, Metazoa, Chordata, Testudines, Cheloniidae.
UGCCUAGUCCAAUGGAGUCCUCGUCCUGUACUGUACAGGGCCUGGUGCUGAUCCUGGGGGGGGUGGGGGCAGGGUGCCUUUGGGUGCUACUGCCAUACAAAGAAUGACCUUUCAGAGCGGCAGUCACUCGUGAACGUGUGGCACUCUCUGAGUCUCAAUUCAGCAAAGCAGGUAGCUUCUGCUCUGGAGCUAUGUGGGGGUGCUGCCGGCUACCAUUGAGGGACAGUGGCAGGAUGCUGUGAGGGAAGCUGGCACAGCGACACCCCCUGCUGGUCCGGCUUUCCCCACCUCUCCCUGCACACACACACCCCCUCAGAGAACAGCUAUGCAGCUGUCACAACCCCCUAGCUCCAGAGCCAGCUGCAGUAGCACAGCUGCUAAUCUCACAAGCCAAGAGCUGUGAAACUGCCAAGGAAGUGUGGCUUGGUGCUGUCUGCGCUGCAUUCCCACCUUCUGCUCGUCUGUGGGAAAGCUCAAGGCUGUGUCAGGAAGGAAAGGGUCCGGUCCGUGAGCCAGGCGCAGUGGGGCCUCGGCUGAGCCACCUGCAGCAUUCAUGCCCACGCUGAAGUCAGAUCCCCUCACCUGUGCAGAGCCCUUGGUGGGGUCUGAAGAAAGGGGAGAGAGUGGGAAAGGAUAGAUCUGGGCAUGGAUCCUCCAAGCAUCGAGCCAGCCCAAUCUGGCCUCCAUGUAAUUCCUGAAAUGGAGCCUGCAGCGAAGAGGGACCCAGUGGAGCUGUCUGAGGAUGUGGUGCUGUGAGCACUGUUUUCUGCCUGUGCAAGAGGCCAGGCAGUCAGAUUCUGCACCUGGGGAGGCCAUAGAUUCAGCAUGACACAGAAAUGAACAGCUGGGUCUCUCCAGUGCUGCUGCCCAAGGUCACUCACUCCAACCAGCGAUCCUGAGAAGAAUCACCUUGAAGAGUUUCCAUUUCUCGAGCAAUAUUUUGCAUAAUAUUGCAGUCAGAGCUGGGUUGAAAGAUCAUAUCCAUCUUAACCCAGGUAGUUUUCCUUGCCUGCACUCCUGCACAAACACACAGUUACAGGAGUCCCAAGGGGAGAGCUGGCACUUUGCGGCCCGUGCACUGUUCACGAACAGGUCGCAGAGCUGGUUCUGAUUAUUGGUCCCAUUUGGGAACAGAUGCAUGGGAAGCUGUCCUGAGUUAACACAGGCUUCUCUUGCCUCAGAAAGCUCUCCGUCUGGAACAGAUCUCUUUGCCCGUGGCAUCCUGGCUCUCUCUCUAAGCAGCUGCCUCAGUUCCUCUCUGACUUCAGGAUGGACAAUAUCAAGUCAAUGGCAUCUGAUGAAACAACCAAGCAGAAGCAUUUUUAAAAAUAAAAGUAUUUCUGACUUUGAAGUGUU